CCCAGGUCAGGCGAGGCCACCCGCU
RNAcentral lists this ribosomal RNA (25 nucleotides) under Najas flexilis. RNAcentral's name for it is "partial 26S ribosomal RNA". Lineage: Eukaryota; Viridiplantae; Streptophyta; Magnoliopsida; Alismatales; Hydrocharitaceae. RNAcentral also lists the same sequence under 1 other name. The record is from RNAcentral.